GGUACUGAAUCCCCAGCUGGGUUUAAUCGAUUCGAAUCGCCGUGUUUCCUCGGAUAUGGAGCCUCAAUCCUCACCCCAUCAUCGUAGUAAUAAAUGAUCUUUGGUAAGAGAAAGAGGUGGUAUGCUUAUGAAAGUUUGAUAAUAGUUUUGGUUAGUCAUAAAUGAUGAUCUUGAGUUAAAACUUGAAAGUAGGUUUUACUCUUAGUAAGCUUUUAUGCAAAAGAAAUGCUUUAUCUUGAUAAAGCUUUACCUUGAAUCCCUAUAGCCUGCAUACCUGAGUCUUCACCUCUUUUCUAGUCGGUUAAGUCUUGUUGAGUACUUUUGUACUCAGGGUUUUAUAACCCCUGUUGCAGGUGCUGACUUAGACUGCUAAUGGAGGUCAUGUCGGUGGGCGCGACAUGAUUUAUCCAUCUCUUCUACCUUAGAAGCUUCACCUAAGAUGCUUCCGCUACUCUAUACACCUUUUGGAAAUUUAGUUAAGUUUAUACUUCAUCAUAUGUUGUAAAUUAAGUUAUAAAUCUUCCGCACUCUGAUCUAAGUUAUUUUUGUAACAAAUGUUGUAAUGUUGUGGUAAC
RNAcentral lists this long non-coding RNA (575 nucleotides) under Sorghum bicolor (sorghum). RNAcentral's name for it is "long non-coding RNA (SBIC_LNC016640)". Lineage: Eukaryota; Viridiplantae; Streptophyta; Magnoliopsida; Poales; Poaceae. The record is from RNAcentral.